GAUGAAGAACGUAGCGAAAUGCGAUACGUAAUGUGAAUUGCAGAAUUCAGUGAAUCAUCGAGUCUUUGAACGCACAUUGCGCCCCCUGGUAUUCCGGGGGGCAUGCCUGUCGGAGCGUCAUUGCUGCCCUCAAGCACGGCUUGUGUGUUGGGCCUCCGUCCUCCUCCCGGGGGACGGGCCCGAAAGGCAGCGGCGGCACCGCGUCCGGUCCUCGAGCGUAUGGGGCUUCGUCACCCGCUCUUGUAGGCCCGGCCGGCGCUUGCCGACACAUCAAUCUUUUUUCCAGGUUGACCUCGGAUCAGGUAGGGAUACCCGCUGAACUUAAGCAUAUCAAUAAGCGGAGGA
This 345-nucleotide unclassified non-coding RNA is filed under the name soil metagenome. RNAcentral describes it as "partial contains 5.8S ribosomal RNA, internal transcribed spacer 2, and large subunit ribosomal RNA". The stretch from base 1 to 120 matches the Rfam family "5.8S ribosomal RNA", at positions 35 to 154 of the family's 154-position model. The record is from RNAcentral.